GGAAUAGCUCAAUGGUAGAGUGUGUGCUUAGCAUGCAUGAGGUCCUGGGUUCAAUCCCCAGUAUCUCCA
RNAcentral lists this transfer RNA (69 nucleotides) under Camelus bactrianus (Bactrian camel). It matches the Rfam family "tRNA". Rfam says of the family: Transfer RNA (tRNA) molecules are approximately 80 nucleotides in length. Their secondary structure includes four short double-helical elements and three loops (D, anti-codon, and T loops). The record is from Rfam by way of RNAcentral. RNAcentral also lists the same sequence under 2 other names. Lineage: Eukaryota; Metazoa; Chordata; Mammalia; Artiodactyla; Camelidae.